Oryza brachyantha (malo sina) is the source of this 625-nucleotide long non-coding RNA. RefSeq lists it as uncharacterized. The transcript has 3 exons. NCBI's taxonomy places the organism in Eukaryota, Viridiplantae, Streptophyta, Magnoliopsida, Poales, Poaceae. The record is from RefSeq and is a predicted model, not a curated record.
CGCGAUCGCCGCGCCACGCCGGCGGCGGCCUGGAAUGCGCGCCAGAGCGCACCAGUUUUCCGGUGGAACCGGCGGCCUGGAAUCAGCGGCUUACCUCCGGCUUGACUGCUUAAGAGGUCGGCUGGAUCCUUCUGGUCUCGCUCUCUCGCAGCGAGGUAAGCCGUGGGCCGCCGCGGGAAACGGCGGCGGGGGAACAUGCCGGCCGGCGACCGGGGCCCGUGCGGGUGCUGAGAGCAAUGCCGAAGCGCUGUCUGUUGAGUCGCCGGAGAUGGACAUCAAGAACCUGCGAACUAACGUGAAAAUGCUCUUCAGAUGGACAGUAACGUAGCAAGUCUCAAGGAAACAACAUUCUGCCAAUUAAAGAUACUCAAACGUUGGACACGGAAACCGGAGAAUUUAUUUUUUUUGGACAGAGGGAGUAGCUAAAUACAGCACGGGCUCGAAGACACUGUAUGUGUAUAACAUAUGAGACCAUGUAUUAAUAUUUUGUAGGUAACUAUUGUAUGAAUUGGUUAUUAGAUUGACGAGUUAUUAGUUGGCUAUACUAUUUAACUUUGAACUUGCUCUAAUAAUAGUCUCAGCCCUCUUUCGUCGAGAAAUUUUUGUUUUAAUUAGGAAUACUAUG